Molecule: long non-coding RNA, 844 nt
Organism: Asterias rubens (European starfish)
Lineage: Eukaryota; Metazoa; Echinodermata; Asteroidea; Forcipulatida; Asteriidae
Exons: 3
Source: RefSeq, a predicted model, not a curated record
CCCCGGCAGUGCUGACCAAAAUGUAGCUGAGGACGAGCAGGAGGUCAAAUCAGCAGAGCACUCAAGCACCAAUCAUGUGUUAUAUGCCAUCUUAGUCAUUUGUGCGAUAGUUCUCAUCAUUGUGAUUGCAUUGAUGUGUAAAGGCUUGAAAAAACAAAUUUCUCAAAGAGCAAAUCGUCAACAUUGCCCACCAACAGAUUAUGUUGCAGUGAAUGUCAAAGAUUCAGAAGCUUCUGCUGAAGUACAUUUGGUAAACGCUCAGACUGUCAGAUACAAGGUCAACCAACCUGCAAAGUAAGUAAAUAAAUCGCAAUAAAAAAAAUAUAUUUUAGGUUUUUAUAGUUUUGUGCUCAUCUUUUUUAUGCUCAUCUUUUUUCAGAUUGAACAUUUGUUCUUCAUUCCACAGUGCUUUAUGACGUUUUUACACUUCUGUUGAAGUUGUACUAAAAAUCAACUUUCUCCUCACUAGGUUUUAAUAACAAUUAGAGUCGCCAACAAUUCACUUUGGCCCAGACUUAUUUGUGGUGUUGGGUGACUCAGCUUCAAAACUUUCCCUGAGAGUCUUGCUCAGCUUACCCCUGAAAGUCUUAAGUGACUCGGUGACCCACUGUGACAUGUGAAUCGAGUUCUUAACUCAAUCAAUUUGAAACCCCAAUUCUUGUAGUUAAAGAGUCUGGGUACUUUGUACGACACAUAAUACAACCGUCAUCAGUAAACAUUAAACUUACACAGUCUAAAAAUAAUGAUGAUAGAAAGCUUCCCUUAAAAUUUUACUUGCCAAGGUACUAGGACUACAAGGUACUGUAGUUUUUUUAGAAACUAGUAAAACAAUAACACAAAAAUA